UUUACAUGCAAGUCGAACGGUAACAGGAAGAAGCUUGCUUCUUUGCUGACGAGUGGCGGACGGGUGAGUAAUGUCUGGGAAACUGCCUGAUGGAGGGGGAUAACUACUGGAAACGGUAGCUAAUACCGCAUAACGUCGCAAGACCAAAGAGGGGGACCUUCGGGCCUCUUGCCAUCGGAUGUGCCCAGAUGGGAUUAGCUAGUAGGUGGGGUAACGGCUCACCUAGGCGACGAUCCCUAGCUGGUCUGAGAGGAUGACCAGCCACACUGGAACUGAGACACGGUCCAGACUCCUACGGGAGGCAGCAGUGGGGAAUAUUGCACAAUGGGCGCAAGCCUGAUGCAGCCAUGCCGCGUGUAUGAAGAAGGCCUUCGGGUUGUAAAGUACUUUCAGCGGGGAGGAAGGGAGUAAAGUUAAUACCUUUGCUCAUUGACGUUACCCGCAGAAGAAGCACCGGCUAACUCCGUGCCAGCAGCCGCGGUAAUACGGAGGGUGCAAGCGUUAAUCGGAAUUACUGGGCGUAAAGCGCACGCAGGCGGUUUGUUAAGUCAGAUGUGAAAUCCCCGGGCUCAACCUGGGAACUGCAUCUGAUACUGGCAAGCUUGAGUCUCGUAGAGGGGGGUAGAAUUCCAGGUGUAGCGGUGAAAUGCGUAGAGAUCUGGAGAAUACCGUGCCAAGGCCCCCU
This 685-nucleotide ribosomal RNA is filed under the name Escherichia coli. RNAcentral's name for it is "bacterial SSU rRNA". It matches the Rfam family "Bacterial small subunit ribosomal RNA", at positions 50 to 728 of the family's 1533-position model. Lineage: Bacteria; Pseudomonadati; Pseudomonadota; Gammaproteobacteria; Enterobacterales; Enterobacteriaceae. The record is from RNAcentral.